UGAGGAAUAUUGGGCAAUGCCCGCAAGGGUGACCCAGCAACGCCGCGUGGAGGAUGAAUGUCGUAAGAUUGUAAACUCCUGUUAGAGGGGAAGAAUAGUACCGGUUGGACCGGUAUAUGACUGUACCCUCAGAGAAAGCCCCGGCUAACUACGUGCCAGCAGCCGCGGUCAUACGUAGGGGGCACGCGUUGUCCGGAUUUACUGGGUGUAAAGGGCGCGCAGGCGGGAUAAAAAGUCAGUGGUGAAAUCCUACAGCUUAACUGUAGAACUGCCUUUGAUACUUUUAUUCUUGAGUUCGGGAGAGNGAGACGGAAUUCCAGGUGUAGUGGUGAAAUACGUAGAUAUCUGGAAGAACACCAGUUGCGAAGGCGGUCUCUUGGUCCGACACUGACGCUGAGGCGCGAAAGCGUGGGGAGCAAAC
RNAcentral lists this ribosomal RNA (421 nucleotides) under uncultured bacterium. RNAcentral describes it as "bacterial SSU rRNA". It matches the Rfam family "Bacterial small subunit ribosomal RNA", at positions 355 to 773 of the family's 1533-position model. The record is from RNAcentral.